RNAcentral lists this ribosomal RNA (404 nucleotides) under uncultured Oscillospiraceae bacterium. RNAcentral describes it as "bacterial SSU rRNA". It matches the Rfam family "Bacterial small subunit ribosomal RNA", at positions 356 to 774 of the family's 1533-position model. The record is from RNAcentral. Lineage: Bacteria; Bacillati; Bacillota; Clostridia; Eubacteriales; Oscillospiraceae.
GGGGAAUAUUGGGCAAUGGGCGAAAGCCUGACCCAGCAACGCCGCGUGAAGGAAGAAGGCCCUCGGGUUGUAAACUUCUUUUAUUCGGGACGAAACAAAUGACGGUACCGAAUGAAUAAGCCACGGCUAACUACGUGCCAGCAGCCGCGGUAAUACGUAGGUGGCGAGCGUUAUCCGGAUUUACUGGGUGUAAAGGGCGUGUAGGCGGGACUGCAAGUCAGAUGUGAAAAUUAUGGGCUCAACCCAUAACCUGCAUUUGAAACUGUAGUUCUUGAGUGAUGGAGAGGCAGGCGGAAUUCCGUGUGUAGCGGUGAAAUGCGUAGAUAUGCGGAGGAACACCGAUGGCGAAGGCAGCCCCCUGGGCCUGCACUGACGCUCAUGCACGAAAGCGUGGGGAGCAAACA